CAUAAUACAACAAUUCUGAAAUAAUCACUAUAUUGCUAGACAAUCCAUUAAUGAUACAUCACUAGAUUGGUCUGACUAUGAAUACAAAAUGCCUGUGAAAAGGUUAAGUGCAGGUUUUCUCUCUUAAUUUACUACAAGUCCAAACUGGUAGAUAACAGCAC
Etheostoma cragini (Arkansas darter) is the source of this 161-nucleotide long non-coding RNA. RefSeq lists it as uncharacterized. NCBI's taxonomy places the organism in Eukaryota, Metazoa, Chordata, Actinopteri, Perciformes, Percidae. The transcript has 3 exons. The record is from RefSeq and is a predicted model, not a curated record.